AUUUAGAAAAAAAUCUCGUUAAUGAAUUUGUCUUUUGUUUUAGUUUUAUUUAGCAGUUAAUUAUAUCUAAAUCAUUGUCAUUUCAUUAGAUAAGGAUGAGUAAUAAAUCAUCUCGUGAUCGACAAGCUACAACAUGAUUUAUUUUUAGAGUUGACAUUACCAUUGAUGGGUAAAUUGUGAAGGGUGUUUGGAAGAUUUGAUAAUGGCUAUUAACUUGUACAAGAUUAGAGACAAUUUUGCUUUAGGUUGGUCUUAUUGGAUUAGUGGUAAUGUUUAAGUUGACCUUCUGAUUAGAAAGGAUUGGGUUAGUCUUUUGGUAAUAAGCAAAAGGUUAGAUUGACUGGCUUUAAAGAAAACAAGAGAUCAUUUAAUUAAUAUUUUCUUUCAUAUCUUUUGAUUGUAGAUAAUCAUAAUUUGGGCUCAAAAAUGAUUGAGUUGCGUUUUUUGGUAAUAAUAAUCAAAUACAUGGCAAACUUGGAUGUUCAAAAUGAAAGGUUGAAGGUAAUUUCAAGGAGAAGUGUUUGAUUAAACGUUGGUUAUUCAAGGAGAUUAUUCAAUGCUUAAGAAAGGACCAGUGUCAGAGAAUUGGCUUCAAUGGUUGCUUUAUUUUCUCCCCCAUCUUUGAAAUAAUCCUAUCCGUUGGCAUCGACAAUUAGUUCCCCAGAGAUUACAUUUACACAAUGAAUUACCACAACAACCGUCUGGCUUGAGGUCACAAAUGGCCCCUCGUUUUAUACAACUGCGUCUAUAAUAAAGAAAAGAAAGUCGUCAGAUGAAAAAUAAUUUAAACAUCAGAUGGGUUCCAAGGAAAGACGAUAAUUGGAUCAAGACAAGACUUACUUUUUUGCAAGAAACAGUUUAGCUAAAUUGUCACCAACACCCUCCAACAUUUCUGAUGCCAUAUGACGAUCUGUUGAGUCAGCGAGAAAAGAGAAAUGUGAAAAAAGAUCAAUAUCGACAUUUGAUUUGGAACCACAAAAAGUGUAUAAUCGAUCCAAUAUAUCCUGUGAUUAACAACUCAAUUUUAAACCCUUCAUUCGGUUGGAUUGAUCAUUGAAUUGGUUCUCAAGUAUGGUCAAGUGUAAUGCCCAAUAACAAUAUACCAAUACAAGUCUUAAUGUCAUCAACUUUUAUGGUUACAUUGAUAAUUAUGGGCCUAUUGCUUUACCAUUUGAUUGCCACUCCAUAAACAUUGUAAACUUGAUAAAGGGACUCAUGAGAAAUGAAAAAACAGUCAAUGGAUCCAAUAGUUACAGCUUAAGUUCAUCUUUGGAACAACAAUCUAUUUUCCAUUUCGAUAAUCACACAAACCAUCAUCUCCGUGAUUAAUGCGAUCAAUUUUAAAGGUUAACCUCGUCAAAUUGGAUUCAAAACCAUUGACAAAUUACACGAUUAUCAUUUUCAAUUUUACCAGAUUCCUGUUUUAAAUGAAUCAGUUUAGUAUUGAUCUACUAAAUAUAGCUAAACAUAAUAAUGUUUAUAAUAACAAUCCAAUCUUUUAACAAUACUGGAUGGCAUAAAAUAAAAUCUAAACAAGAUGGAAACCAAAGAUGGUAAAGUUAUCCCUUAAGUAAUGAGGAAGAAAUUAAAAACCAGGAAAAUCAAACAAAGAUUGUCCAAGGAAUGUCAAUUGAAUCAUCGACUGGUCCAUCCAUACAUUUAAUUGGUUUAUCAUGUUGAAGCUCAUGGAAUCAGUUAAAUUGCGGUCAAUAAAGUCUUAAAAGUCAUUGAUGUCAACGAUUUGAUGGAUAUCAUUGAUCACCCACAAGUCAAUGCCAAUCCACUUAUAACAGCAAAUAACACCAAUGGACAACAACUACAUGUAUCAACUUUAAUGUCACCAGGAAUUUCAUUAACAUUUAAUCAACUAUAAUUGACUUGGAUGAAUUUUUUAUUACAAUGGAAGCCCGUUAACCAAGCAAAGUCUUUAAAAAUGUGCAACCAGUCAAUCAAACCAGCAUUUGUCAAAAUCUACUUAAUAUAUUAAAUUAAGUAUUGAUGAGACUAAUUGCCGAGUUAAAAGCCACUGGAUCGAGCCUCGCAAAUUGAAAGGUGUUGAUCAAUACAGAGUCGAUAAAGUAAACAAUUAACCGAACAGUUUUAUUUCACAAGUUGAGAUAUUCAAGAGUCUUCAUCUUAAGUCUAUUGAUUGUGAUUAUUAUGAUUAGCUGACAUAGCAAAUGACGUUUUCCUCUUGAAUAAACUCAAGAGUUUCACAUGGAAACUCUAAAAAAGGUUAAUUUGUUAUUGAUUGGAUGCAAAUGAGUUCAAUUAAACAGAUAAAAAUGAAAGAAAUUAAAAUAAUUACAAUUUACUAGUUA
Non-coding RNA from Tetranychus urticae (two-spotted spider mite), 2321 nucleotides. The record is from RefSeq and is a predicted model, not a curated record. Lineage: Eukaryota; Metazoa; Arthropoda; Arachnida; Trombidiformes; Tetranychidae.